RNAcentral lists this ribosomal RNA (832 nucleotides) under Microbacteriaceae bacterium PDD-63b-42. RNAcentral's name for it is "bacterial SSU rRNA". It matches the Rfam family "Bacterial small subunit ribosomal RNA", at positions 612 to 1442 of the family's 1533-position model. Lineage: Bacteria; Bacillati; Actinomycetota; Actinomycetes; Micrococcales; Microbacteriaceae. The record is from RNAcentral.
ACCUCCAGCCUGCAGUGGGUACGGGCAGACUAGAGUGCGGUAGGGGAGAUUGGAAUUCCUGGUGUAGCGGUGGAAUGCGCAGAUAUCAGGAGGAACACCGAUGGCGAAGGCAGAUCUCUGGGCCGUAACUGACGCUGAGGAGCGAAAGCAUGGGAGCGAACAGGAUUAGAUACCCUGGUAGUCCAUGCCGUAAACGUUGGGAACUAGAUGUGGGGGCCAUUCCACGGUCUCCGUGUCGCAGCUAACGCAUUAAGUUCCCCGCCUGGGGAGUACGGCCGCAAGGCUAAAACUCAAAGGAAUUGACGGGGGCCCGCACAAGCGGCGGAGCAUGCGGAUUAAUUCGAUGCAACGCGAAGAACCUUACCAAGGCUUGACAUAUACGAGAACGGGCCAGAAAUGGUCAACUCUUUGGACACUCGUAAACAGGUGGUGCAUGGUUGUCGUCAGCUCGUGUCGUGAGAUGUUGGGUUAAGUCCCGCAACGAGCGCAACCCUCGUUCUAUGUUGCCAGCACGUUAUGGUGGGAACUCAUAGGAGACUGCCGGGGUCAACUCGGAGGAAGGUGGGGAUGACGUCAAAUCAUCAUGCCCCUUAUGUCUUGGGCUUCACGCAUGCUACAAUGGCCGGUACAAAGGGCUGCAAUACCGUAAGGUGGAGCGAAUCCCAAAAAGCCGGUCUCAGUUCGGAUUGAGGUCUGCAACUCGACCUCAUGAAGUCGGAGUCGCUAGUAAUCGCAGAUCAGCAACGCUGCGGUGAAUACGUUCCCGGGCCUUGUACACACCGCCCGUCAAGUCAUGAAAGUCGGUAACACCCAACGCCAGUGGCCUAUUACG